GGAACCUGGUUGAUCCUGCCAGUAGUCAUAUGCUUGUCCCAAAGAUUAAGCCAUGCAUGUCUAAGUAUAAACUGCUUAUACUGUGAAACUGCGAAUGGCUCAUUAAAUCAGUUAUAGUUUAUUUGAUGGUACUUUCUACUCGGAAUAACCGUAGUAAUUCUAGAGCUAAUACGUGCGUAAAUCCCGACUUCUGG
RNAcentral lists this ribosomal RNA (194 nucleotides) under uncultured eukaryote. RNAcentral's name for it is "partial 18S ribosomal RNA". It matches the Rfam family "Eukaryotic small subunit ribosomal RNA", at positions 1 to 192 of the family's 1831-position model. The record is from RNAcentral.